GAUGAACGCUAGCUACAGGCUUAACACAUGCAAGUCGCGUGGCAGCAUGGGGGUUGCUUGCAAUCCCCGAUGGCGACCGGCGCACGGGUGAGUAACGCGUAUCCAACCUGCCCUUCACCACGGGAUAACCCGGCGAAAGUCGGACUAAUACCGUAUGUUGUCCAUUGACGGCAUCCGAUUUGGACGAAAGGUUUGGCGGUGAAGGAUGGGGGUGCGUCCGAUUAGCUGGACGGCGGGGUGACGGCCCACCGUGGCGACGAUCGGUAGGGGUUCUGAGAGGAAGGUCCCCCACACUGGAACUGAGACACGGUCCAGACUCCUACGGGAGGCAGCAGUGAGGAAUAUUGGUCAAUGGGCGUAAGCCUGAACCAGCCAAGUAGCGUGCAGGAUGACGGCCCUAUGGGUUGUAAACUGCUUUUAUGCGGGGAUAAAGUGGCCCACGUGUGGGUUUUUGCAGGUACCGCAUGAAUAAGGACCGGCUAAUUCCGUG
RNAcentral lists this ribosomal RNA (490 nucleotides) under uncultured bacterium. Its description in RNAcentral is "partial 16S ribosomal RNA". It matches the Rfam family "Bacterial small subunit ribosomal RNA", at positions 28 to 507 of the family's 1533-position model. The record is from RNAcentral.